Molecule: ribosomal RNA, 758 nt
Filed under: uncultured Nocardioides sp.
Lineage: Bacteria; Bacillati; Actinomycetota; Actinomycetes; Propionibacteriales; Nocardioidaceae
Description: bacterial SSU rRNA
Rfam family: Bacterial small subunit ribosomal RNA
Source: RNAcentral
UUGUGGGGUGCUCGAGUGGCGAACGGGUGAGUAACACGUGAGUAACCUGCCCUUGACUUUGGGAUAACUUCAGGAAACUGGGGCUAAUACCGGAUAGGAGCUCCUGCUGCAUGGUGGGGGUUGGAAAGUUUCGGCGGUUGGGGAUGGACUCGCGGCUUAUCAGCUUGUUGGUGGGGUAGUGGCUUACCAAGGCUUUGACGGGUAGCCGGCCUGAGAGGGUGACCGGCCACAUUGGGACUGAGAUACGGCCCAGACUCCUACGGGAGGCAGCAGUGGGGAAUAUUGCACAAUGGGCGGAAGCCUGAUGCAGCAACGCCGCGUGCGGGAUGACGGCCUUCGGGUUGUAAACCGCUUUCGCCUGUGACGAAGCGUGAGUGACGGUAAUGGGUAAAGAAGCACCGGCUAACUACGUGCCAGCAGCCGCGGUGAUACGUAGGGUGCGAGCGUUGUCCGGAUUUAUUGGGCGUAAAGGGCUCGUAGGUGGUUGAUCGCGUCGGAAGUGUAAUCUUGGGGCUUAACCCUGAGCGUGCUUUCGAUACGGGUUGACUUGAGGAAGGUAGAGGAGAAUGGAAUUCCUGGUGGAGCGGUGGAAUGCGCAGAUAUCAGGAGGAACACCAGUGGCGAAGGCGGUUCUCUGGGCCUUUCCUGACGCUGAGGAGCGAAAGCGUGGGGAGCGAACAGGCUUAGAUACCCUGGUAGUCCACGCUGUAAACGGUGGGUACUAGGUGUGGGGUCCAUUCCACGGGUUCCGCGCCGUA